This 2894-nucleotide ribosomal RNA is filed under the name Stenotrophomonas maltophilia. Its description in RNAcentral is "bacterial LSU rRNA". It matches the Rfam family "Bacterial large subunit ribosomal RNA". The record is from RNAcentral. Lineage: Bacteria; Pseudomonadati; Pseudomonadota; Gammaproteobacteria; Lysobacterales; Lysobacteraceae.
GUUAUAUGGUCAAGCGAAUAAGCGCACACGGUGGAUGCCUUGGCGGUCAGAGGCGAUGAAGGACGUGGCAGCCUGCGAAAAGUAUCGGGGAGCUGGCAACAAGCUUUGAUCCGGUAAUGUCCGAAUGGGGAAACCCACCCGCUUGCGGGUAUCCUGCAGUGAAUACAUAGCUGCUGGAAGCGAACCUGGUGAACUGAAAUAUCUAAGUAACCAGAGGAAAAGAAAUCAACCGAGAUUCCGUAAGUAGCGACGAGCGAACGCGGACUAGCCCUUAAGCUGAUUUGGUUCUAGGAAAACGCUCUGGAAAGAGCGGCCAUAGAAGGUGAUAGCCCUGUAUCUGAAAGGGCCAUUUCAGUGAAGACGAGUAGGGCGGGGCACGUGAAACCCUGUCUGAACAUGGGGGGACCAUCCUCCAAGGCUAAAUACUACUGACCGACCGAUAGUGAACCAGUACCGUGAGGGAAAGGCGAAAAGAACCCCGGAGAGGGGAGUGAAAUAGAACCUGAAACCGUGUGCGUACAAGCAGUAGGAGCUCCGCAAGGAGUGACUGCGUACCUUUUGUAUAAUGGGUCAGCGACUUACUGUUCGUGGCAAGCUUAACCGUAUAGGGGAGGCGAAGGGAAACCGAGUCUGAUAAGGGCGCAUAGUCGCGGGCAGUAGACCCGAAACCGGGUGAUCUAGUCAUGCCCAGGGUGAAGGUGCGGUAACACGCACUGGAGGCCCGAACCCACUCCCGUUGCAAAGGUAGGGGAUGAGGUGUGAUUAGGAGUGAAAAGCUAAUCGAACCCGGAGAUAGCUGGUUCUCCUCGAAAGCUAUUUAGGUAGCGCCUCAUAUGUAUCCUCUCGGGGGUAGAGCACUGUUAUGGCUAGGGGGUCAUCGCGACUUACCAAACCAUUGCAAACUCCGAAUACCGAGACGGACUGUAUGGGAGACACACGGCGGGUGCUAACGUCCGUCGUGAAAAGGGAAACAACCCAGACCCACAGCUAAGGUCCCAAAUUUUGUGCUAAGUGGAAAACCAUGUGGAAAGGCACAGACAGCCAGGAGGUUGGCUUAGAAGCAGCCACCCUUUAAAGAAAGCGUAAUAGCUCACUGGUCGAGUCGGUCUGCGGGGAAGAUUUAACGGGGCUAAGCACAGAACCGAAGCUUGGGGUGCAUAACUUUGUUAUGCGCGGUAGAGGAGCGUUCCGUAAGCCGUUGAAGGUGGAUUGAGAAGUCUGCUGGAGGUAUCGGAAGUGCGAAUGCUGACAUGAGUAACGAUAAUGCGGGUGAAAAACCCGCACGCCGAAAGCCCAAGGUUUCCUUGCGCAACGUUAAUCGGCGCAGGGUGAGUCGGCCCCUAAGGCGAGGACGAAAGUCGUAGUCGAUGGGAAGCAGGUUAAUAUUCCUGCACCUCGCGUAAGUGCGAUGGAGGGACGGAGAAGGUUAGGUGUACCAGGCGUUGGUUGUCCUGGGGAAAGGCGGUAGGUUUGGAUCUUUGGCAAAUCCGGGAUCCUCUAAGACCGAGCACCGAGACGAGCCUUUAUGGCAAAGUCACUGAUACCACGCUUCCAGGAAAAGCUCCUAAGCUUCAGCUUACGCAGACCGUACCGUAAACCGACACAGGUGGGUAGGAUGAGAAUUCUCAGGCGCUUGAGAGAACUCGGGUGAAGGAACUAGGCAACAUGGCACCGUAACUUCGGGAGAAGGUGCACCCUUUUUGGUGGCUCGUGCGAGCUAUAGCUGAAGAGGGUCGCAGUAACCAGGCCGCUGCGACUGUUUAUCAAAAACACAGCACUCUGCAAACACGAAAGUGGACGUAUAGGGUGUGACGCCUGCCCGGUGCUGGAAGGUUAAUUGAUGGGGUCAGCCGCAAGGCGAAGCUCUUGAUCGAAGCCCCAGUAAACGGCGGCCGUAACUAUAACGGUCCUAAGGUAGCGAAAUUCCUUGUCGGGUAAGUUCCGACCUGCACGAAUGGCGUAACGACAGCGGCGCUGUCUCCACCCGAGACUCAGUGAAAUUGAAAUCGCUGUGAAGAUGCAGCGUUCCCGUGGCAAGACGGAAAGACCCCGUGAACCUUUACUAUAGCUUUACACUGAACGUUGAGUUCGUCUGUGUAGGAUAGGUGGGAGGCUAUGAAACCAUGGCGCUAGCUGUGGCGGAGCCAUCCUUGAAAUACCACCCUGUCGUGCUUGACGUUCUAACCUGGGCCCAUUAUCUGGGUCGGGGACCGUGUAUGGUGGGUAGUUUGACUGGGGCGGUCUCCUCCUAAAGAGUAACGGAGGAGCUCGAAGGUACGCUCAGCGCGGUCGGACAUCGCGCACUGUGUGCAAAGGCAUAAGCGUGCUUGACUGCAAGAUCGACGGAUCAAGCAGGUAGGAAACUAGGACUUAGUGAUCCGGUGGUUCUGUAUGGAAGGGCCAUCGCUCAACGGAUAAAAGGUACUCCGGGGAUAACAGGCUGAUACCGCCCAAGAGUUCAUAUCGACGGCGGUGUUUGGCACCUCGAUGUCGGCUCAUCACAUCCUGGGGCUGUAGUCGGUCCCAAGGGUAUGGCUGUUCGCCAUUUAAAGUGGUACGCGAGCUGGGUUCAGAACGUCGUGAGACAGUUCGGUCCCUAUCUGCCAUGGGCGUUGGAGAUUUGAGAGGGGCUGCUCCUAGUACGAGAGGACCGGAGUGGACGAACCUCUGGUGUUCCGGUUGUCACGCCAGUGGCAUUGCCGGGUAGCUAUGUUCGGAAGCGAUAACCGCUGAAAGCAUCUAAGCGGGAAGCGCGCCUCAAGAUGAGAUCUCCCGGGGCACAAGCCCCCUGAAGGAACCAUGUAGACUACGUGGUUGAUAGGUCAGGUGUGUAAGUACAGCAAUGUAUUGAGCUAACUGAUACUAAUGAUCCGUGCGGCUUGACCAUAUAACCU